CAGGGAUUCCCCCGUGAAAGGCUGCCGUAUUCCAAAAGCACAGGGGCCAAUGUUUAUUCCCCGGAAGAUGCUAUUCGGUCCCAUUUAGCUGGCUGAUUGGAUUUCAGCAUUCAAGGUUUGCUGUCAUCAGCGAAGACGAUCAGCUUGACGUGGCCAGUGACCUUGUUACUCGGCACCUGCUUUUAACACUGCUUGAGCUACUGUACCGGAGAAUUUGAACUUUGAGCAACUUUGGCUUCUCCUUUUCCUCGGGAAAGCGAAGGGACUUUUGGGGGUGAAAAAAAAAACAUAUAAUGUGAAAAACGGCCUGAGCAACAAAAGGUUUUCUGUGAUGUGUAAGACGUGCUGGUUGGGAUAAGGGGCUCUUUUGACAAAAUCUAUGUAAGGAGACACACGAAUCCUUACAUUAAGGAUGCAAUUAAUGAAAUUCAAGAUGGUGCCUUUUUUUCUUCUUUCACAGUUCUGCUACAAAGGCGGGGCAGCCCCCGCAAUCCUGAUGGCAUUUGAAAAGAUAUAAAAGCCGCAACAUCUCCCCAUUUUUGCAACACUGGUAGAUGUGCAAUAUUGUGCUUUGUACUGUAUGAUCGAGGAACCGCUCCACUUAUCCCCAAAGAUGCUGUGCAGGAAUAUUGUCCUCCUCUCAUUGGCGAUCCUCUUUGUGCAAGCUGAUCUUGAUCAAGAUGGGGACAAUCAAGCCAUGUCCACAGACCAAGACUCAACUUCAGAUGAAGCUCCAACAGAGAGCAUGAACUCCAUUUCUUCUGACCAGCCUAAUGAUGAACCACAGUAUUACCACGGAGGUGCAGGAGGUGCAAGCAGCACGAGCUCAGAAGUCACUAAUGAUGGACAUCAUCUUAGCAAUGGUCUAACUGGCCGUGCUGAUGGUAGCAAAUCCAGCAACGAGGACCAGGAUGAGUACCAGAGCCCAAACUCAGAGGAAGCCAAGCGCUGAUCAAAACUCAGAGGGUCACCCUGAGGAAGCUUCUUUCGACUGGUGCUGUGUUACCUGAACACCAUUAUAUAUCCAAAGCUUUAGUGUAGGACUUAGACUGUAGACUUUUGAUAAUCUGCUCUCAACAAAAAGUCAGUGUUUCGAUCAAAAGUAUUUGUCCUACCACAUUUUCAGCAAAUUUCUAUGUAUUCAGUAUUUUAUGUUUUUUUUUAAACAAGGAUAACUGUCAAAUCAAGCGACAUGAAAUGUACUUACUAUUCCUACGUUAUCCCUUACUUAAUAAACUUCUCAAGGCAAACA
RNAcentral lists this long non-coding RNA (1252 nucleotides) under Scleropages formosus (Asian bonytongue). RNAcentral describes it as "lncRNA (ENSSFOG00015025387.1)". The record is from RNAcentral. Lineage: Eukaryota; Metazoa; Chordata; Actinopteri; Osteoglossiformes; Osteoglossidae.